CCUAAGGUAGCGAAAUUCCUUGUCGGGUAAGUUCCGACCUGCACGAAUGGCGUAAUGAUGGCCAGGCUGUCUCCACCCGAGACUCAGUGAAAUUGAACUCGCUGUGAAGAUGCAGUGUACCCGCGGCAAGACGGAAAGACCCCGUGAACCUUUACUAUAGCUUGACACUGAACAUUGAGCCUUGAUGUGUAGGAUAGGUGGGAGGCUUUGAAGUGUGGACGCCAGUCUGCAUGGAGCCGACCUUGAAAUACCACCCUUUAAUGUUUGAUGUUCUAACGUUGACCCGUGAUCCGGGUUGCGGACAGUGUCUGGUGGGUAGUUUGACUGGGGCGGUCUCCUCCUAAAGAGUAACGGAGGAGCACGAAGGUUGGCUAAUCCUGGUCGGACAUCAGGAGGUUAGUGCAAUGGCAUAAGCCAGCUUGACUGCGAGCGUGACGGCGCGAGCAGGUGCGAAAGCAGGUCAUAGUGAUCCGGUGGUUCUGAAUGGAAGGGCCAUCGCUCAACGGAUAAAAGGUACUCCGGGGAUAACAGGCUGAUACCGCCCAAGAGUUCAUAUCGACGGCGGUGUUUGGCACCUCGAUGUCGGCUCAUCACAUCCUGGGGCUGAAGUAGGUCCCAAGGGUAUGGCUGUUCGCCAUUUAAAGUGGUACGCGAGCUGGGUUUAGAACGUCGUGAGACAGUUCGGUCCCUAUCUGCCGUGGGCGCUGGAGAACUGAGGGGGGCUGCUCCUAGUACGAGAGGACCGGAGUGGACGCAUCACUGGUGUUCGGGUUGUCAUGCCAAUGGCACUGCCCGGUAGCUAAAUGCGGAAGAGAUAAGUGCUGAAAGCAUCUAAGCACGAAACUUGCCCCGAGAUGAGUUCUCCCUGACUCCCUGAGAGUCCUGAAGGAACGUUGAAGACGACGACGUUGAUAGGCCGGGUGUGUAAGCGCAGCGAUGCGUUGAGCUAACCGGUACUAAUGAACCGUGAGGCUUAACCUU
RNAcentral lists this ribosomal RNA (981 nucleotides) under metagenome. RNAcentral's name for it is "bacterial LSU rRNA". It matches the Rfam family "Bacterial large subunit ribosomal RNA", at positions 1950 to 2925 of the family's 2925-position model. The record is from RNAcentral.